GAUGAACGCUGGCGGCGUGCCUAAUACAUGCAAGUCGAGCGAACAGACGAGGAGCUUGCUCCUCUGACGUUAGCGGCGGACGGGUGAGUAACACGUGGAUAACCUACCUAUAAGACUGGGAUAACUUCGGGAAACCGGAGCUAAUCCCGGAUAAUAUCUUGAACCGCAUGGUUCAAUAGUGAAAGACGGUUUUGCUGUCACUUAUAGCUGGAUCCGCGCCGCAUUAGCUAGUUGGUAAGGUAACGGCUUACCAAGGCAACGAUGCGUAGCCGACCUGAGAGGGUGAUCGGCCACACUGGAACGGGGACACGGUCCAGACUCCUACGGGAGGCAGCAGUAGGGAAUCUGCCGCAAUGGGCGAAAGCUUGACGGAGCAACGCCGCGUGAGAGAUGAAGGUCUUCGGAUCGUAAAACUCUGUUAUUAGUGAAGAACAAAUGUGUAAGUAACUAUGCACGUCUUGACGGUACCUAAUCAGAAAGCCACGGCUAACUACGUG
RNAcentral lists this ribosomal RNA (497 nucleotides) under uncultured bacterium. RNAcentral's name for it is "partial 16S ribosomal RNA". It matches the Rfam family "Bacterial small subunit ribosomal RNA", at positions 28 to 507 of the family's 1533-position model. The record is from RNAcentral.